UACGAAGGGUGCAAGCGUUACUCGGAAUUACUGGGCGUAAAGCGUGCGUAGGUGGUUUGUUAAGUCUGAUGUGAAAGCCCUGGGCUCAACCUGGGAAUUGCAUUGGAUACUGGCAGGCUAGAGUGCGGUAGAGGAUGGCGGAAUUCCCGGUGUAGCAGUGAAAUGCGUAGAUAUCAGGAGGAAUACCGAUGGCGAAGGCAGGUCUCUGGGCUGACACUGACGCUCAUGCACGAAAGCGUGGGGAGCAAACAGG
Molecule: ribosomal RNA, 253 nt
Filed under: uncultured bacterium
Lineage: Bacteria
Description: partial 16S ribosomal RNA
Rfam family: Bacterial small subunit ribosomal RNA
Source: RNAcentral